GUAGGGUGCGAGCGUUGUCCGGAUUUAUUGGGCGUAAAGGGAGCGUAGGCGGCCAUUUAAGUUCGAUCUUAAAGACUGGGGCUCAACCCCAGGAAUGGAUUGAAUACUGGGUGGCUAGAGGAUGUCAGAGGAAAGUGGAAUUCCGAGUGUAGCGGUGAAAUGCGUAGAUAUUCGGAGGAACACCAGUGGCGAAGGCGACUUUCUGGGACAUUCCUGACGCUGAGGCUCGAAAGCUCGGGGAGCAGACAGGAUUAGAUACCCUGGUAGUCCGAGCCGUAAACGAUGGAUACUAGGUGUUGAGGGUAUCGACUCCUUCAGUGCCGUAGCUAACGCGUUAAGUAUCCCGCCUGGGGAGUACGGUCGCAAGACUG
Molecule: ribosomal RNA, 371 nt
Filed under: uncultured bacterium
Lineage: Bacteria
Description: bacterial SSU rRNA
Rfam family: Bacterial small subunit ribosomal RNA
Source: RNAcentral